GUUGAACGCUGGCGGCAGGCUUAACACAUGCAAGUCGAGCGGAGAUGAGGUGCUUGCACCUUAUCUUAGCGGCGGACGGGUGAGUAAUGCUUAGGAAUCUGCCUAUUAGUGGGGGACAACAUUCCGAAAGGAAUGCUAAUACCGCAUACGUCCUACGGUAGAAAGCAGGGGAUCUUCGGACCUUGCGCUAAUAGAUGAGCCUAAGACGGAUUAGCUAGUUGGUGGGGUAAAGGCCUACCAAGGCGACGAUCUGUAGCGGGUCUGAGAGGAUGAUCCGCCACACUGGGACUGAGACACGGCCCAGACUCCUACGGGAGGCAGCAGUGGGGAAUAUUGGACAAUGGGGGAAACCCUGAUCCAGCCAUGCCGCGUGUGUGAAGAAGGCCUUAUGGUUGUAAAGCACUUUAAGCGAGGAGGAGGCUACUUUAGUUAAUACCUAGAGAUAGUGGACGUUACUCGCAGAAUAAGCACCGGCUAACUCUGUGCCAGCCGCCGCAGUAA
RNAcentral lists this ribosomal RNA (501 nucleotides) under uncultured bacterium. RNAcentral describes it as "partial 16S ribosomal RNA". It matches the Rfam family "Bacterial small subunit ribosomal RNA", at positions 28 to 523 of the family's 1533-position model. The record is from RNAcentral.